GGUGCUGUGGCAUAGUGGGUUAAUGCCCUGGCCUGUAGUGCCGGCAUCCCAUGUGGGUGCCAGUUUGAGUUCUGGCUGCUCCA
This 83-nucleotide transfer RNA is filed under the name Oryctolagus cuniculus (rabbit). It matches the Rfam family "tRNA". From Rfam's summary of the family: Transfer RNA (tRNA) molecules are approximately 80 nucleotides in length. Their secondary structure includes four short double-helical elements and three loops (D, anti-codon, and T loops). The record is from Rfam by way of RNAcentral. Lineage: Eukaryota; Metazoa; Chordata; Mammalia; Lagomorpha; Leporidae.